This 73-nucleotide transfer RNA is filed under the name Candidatus Falkowiibacteriota bacterium. RNAcentral's name for it is "Candidatus Falkowbacteria bacterium tRNA-Lys". It matches the Rfam family "tRNA". Rfam says of the family: Transfer RNA (tRNA) molecules are approximately 80 nucleotides in length. Their secondary structure includes four short double-helical elements and three loops (D, anti-codon, and T loops). The record is from RNAcentral. Lineage: Bacteria; Candidatus Falkowiibacteriota.
GCAUCCAUAGCUCAGUUGGUAGAGCAGCGCCCUUUUAAGGCGAUGGUCGCAGGUUCGAAUCCUGCUGGAUGCA